GACAGAGGGUGCAAACGUUGCUCGGAAUCACUGGGCGUAAAGCGUGCGCAGGCGGUUAUGUAAGACAGUUGUGAAAUCCCCGGGCUCAACCUGGGAACUGCAUCUGUGACUGCAUAGCUAGAGUACGGUAGAGGGGGAUGGAAUUCCGCGUGUAGCAGUGAAAUGCGUAGAGAUCAGGAGGAACACCGAAGGCGAAAGCACUCUGCUGGGCCGACACUGACACUGAGAGACGAAGCGAGGGGAGCAAAUGGG
Molecule: ribosomal RNA, 252 nt
Filed under: uncultured bacterium
Lineage: Bacteria
Description: partial 16S ribosomal RNA
Rfam family: Bacterial small subunit ribosomal RNA
Source: RNAcentral